GUCCAUGGCUCAGUGGCAGAGGGUGUGCUUUGAAUGCAGGUGGCCUCAGGUUCAAACCCUGGCAUCUCCA
Molecule: transfer RNA, 70 nt
Filed under: Sphaerodactylus townsendi
Lineage: Eukaryota; Metazoa; Chordata; Lepidosauria; Squamata; Sphaerodactylidae
Description: tRNA-Ser
Source: RNAcentral